This 832-nucleotide ribosomal RNA is filed under the name Cis japonicus. RNAcentral's name for it is "SSU rRNA". It matches the Rfam family "Eukaryotic small subunit ribosomal RNA", at positions 120 to 893 of the family's 1831-position model. RNAcentral also lists the same sequence under 1 other name. Lineage: Eukaryota; Metazoa; Arthropoda; Insecta; Coleoptera; Ciidae. The record is from RNAcentral.
UUAGAUCGUACCCACAUUUACUUGGAUAACUGUGGUAAUUCUAGAGCUAAUACAUGCAAACAGAGCUCCGACCGGAGACGGAAGGAGCGCUUUUAUUAGAUCAAAACCGAUCGGUGGUGGAUUUAUCCAUCAUCGCCCAAUUUGGUGAAUCUGAAUAACUUUAAGCUGAUCGCACGGUCUAGCACCGGCGACGCAUCUUUCAAAUGUCUGCCUUAUCAACUGUCGAUGGUAGGUUCUGCGCCUACCAUGGUUGUAACGGGUAACGGGGAAUCAGGGUUCGAUUCCGGAGAGGGAGCCUGAGAAACGGCUACCACAUCCAAGGAAGGCAGCAGGCGCGCAAAUUACCCACUCCCGGCACGGGGAGGUAGUGACGAAAAAUAACGAUACGGGACUCAUCCGAGGCCCCGUAAUCGGAAUGAGUACACUCUAAACCCUUUAACGAGGAUCAAUUGGAGGGCAAGUCUGGUGCCAGCAGCCGCGGUAAUUCCAGUUCCAAUAGCGUAUAUUAAAGUUGUUGCGGUUAAAAAGCUCGUAGUCGAAUUUGUGUCUCGCACCGCCGGUUCAUCGUUCGCGGUGUUAACUGGCGUGCCGUGGGACGUCCUGCCGGUGGGCUUAGCCCGUGAGGGCGGCCCAAAUCAAUCCUGCCACGGUGCUCUUCAUUGAGUGUCGAGGUGGGCCGGCACGUUUACUUUGAACAAAUUAGAGUGCUUAAAGCAGGCUAAAAUUUCGCCUGAAUACUAUGUGCAUGGAAUAAUGGAAUAGGACCUCGGUUCUAUUUUGUUGGUUUUCGGAACCCCGAGGUAAUGAUUAAUAGGAACGGAUGGGGGCAUUC